RNAcentral lists this small RNA (79 nucleotides) under Enterococcus faecalis. RNAcentral describes it as "RNA anti-toxin A". The record is from RNAcentral. Lineage: Bacteria; Bacillati; Bacillota; Bacilli; Lactobacillales; Enterococcaceae.
AAUGUAGAUGAAAAGAGUGAGAUGCGUCAACACACCUCUUUAGUGUAGAGCCGUUUAAGACGCGGUGACCAAUUUUUUA